This is a long non-coding RNA of Girardinichthys multiradiatus, 341 nucleotides long. RefSeq lists it as uncharacterized. NCBI's taxonomy places the organism in Eukaryota, Metazoa, Chordata, Actinopteri, Cyprinodontiformes, Goodeidae. The record is from RefSeq and is a predicted model, not a curated record. The transcript has 3 exons.
CAGGCCAGGGGUUCCGGGAUAGCCACCUCCAUACAGAGGCUUUUGGUCAAGCAUCAUGGAUGGGUCCUGGCCUGCAAAAUGCUCCAGCUGCUGCUCUGCUCCCUGGGUCUGCAGCACAUAGGACAAGGAGGACAAAGACAGCACAGACGGACUCCUUAAGGCUCAUCUAUCUCCCUUCAGUGAGAGGACAGUGAACACAAGAGCGCUACAAGCCUACACAUGAGAUUGUCUGCUUUUUGACACCUUACCUGGCUGACAAGGUCUGGGAUACCAAGAGCUCGGUCUAUCUCCUCCAGAGCGAUGCCGUCUGUGUUAUUUAGCAGUGAAUCCAGCUGGUCCAG